AUAGUUUAGCAGAGUUUUAUCGUGCAUAAACCUUUUUCAGCAUCUUCACAUGUAACAGAGCAUCAUGCCACUGGCAUCUUAAAGGAUUUCUGGGCAGUGGAGUGUUAAACGGCCCCAGCAAGAGUGGCUCCCCCCACACGCGCUCGCUGCCUGCCGAACCAAAUUGUACUUUUAAAUCCAGGAAAGAUGAAAUGCUGCCUCCCAUGAGUGUUGCUGUCUAUCCUGCAUCUUGCCGACAUUUAUGGAAGAAGAACUCGCCUUUGCACGGCUUCCGCACGCCUGACAAGCUCUGAAAAACGCAACGAUGCCGGAAAAAAGACUGAUGCA
RNAcentral lists this long non-coding RNA (327 nucleotides) under Carassius auratus (goldfish). Its description in RNAcentral is "lncRNA (ENSCARG00000028563.1)". Lineage: Eukaryota; Metazoa; Chordata; Actinopteri; Cypriniformes; Cyprinidae. The record is from RNAcentral.